Molecule: long non-coding RNA, 1771 nt
Organism: Pipistrellus kuhlii (Kuhl's pipistrelle)
Lineage: Eukaryota; Metazoa; Chordata; Mammalia; Chiroptera; Vespertilionidae
Exons: 3
Source: RefSeq, a predicted model, not a curated record
CCUGAACCCAACUGUCCAGACGUUGAGGUAGAAUUUCUAUAGAGAUGCAAGGCUCUGGGCAAGGGCAGCCAGUGACUCAGUUUACCUCUCCUGAAAACCCCGUCCCUCACAGAACUUGCUAAGAACAGCCCACACCGAGCCUGGCGUGCACGCUCACCCGCAGCCAGAGCGUGGCAUGGACUCGCCUAGUCUCAGGGGUCCGGGAAGGGUGACUGCCCGCGGACUACUUUGCGCGGACCCUCAGGCGGAGGACGAAGGGGUUCCGCUACCGCCGGCGGAGGGGACGUGCGUGGCGCCCCGAGUCAGUGCGCCUGCGCCGCCGCCCCCGCGCGCGCACACGCCCCCCGCCGGCCGCGCGUCCGCCCGUCCGCGGGGCCACUCGCGCGACAGGGGCCGCCGCAGCCCCGCGCCCGCCCUCCCGCAGGUCCUCCCCUUCGCUUCCGGGAGCGCUUCCAGGACAGGACGCCAUGCAGUGCACUGCAGAGUCAGCCCCACGAUGGCUGAGAAGCUGCUGCAGGGGUUCCCGGAGGAGGGCCAGCAGGAGUGCUCCGCAGCCUCUCCCUGCACCUGCUGCAACCUGCUUCCCCGAAGGUGAUGCUGGAGCUGGCCUGGAGGCACAGCCUGGUAGGCCUGGCCGUGACCUGCUUCGCCCAGGUGAUGAGGGAGAACCUUAGCAAAGCUGAUGAGCUGUUUAACGAGGUAACGGUGUCUAAUUUCAACUUCCUGUGAGUGGAAGCCCUAGGAGUCACUGUCUAGGGCCUAGCUGUAGCCACUCUCCAGAGACACAUCAUCCGGCCCGAUUUGUUUCUAAGUCUGCAGAAAAGCAAUCGCUCAGCAGUGCCGACUUGCCCUUCGAGCCACAUUCCUAACCUUCUGCCAGCCAGACGGAGGCCCCACAGUGCCAACAAGCCCCGGGCCAAGGCUUCCUUCAGUGUGCAUGGAAACGGGGAGCCUCCCAGGCUUAGUAUGGGGUUAGGGAAAAACGGAGGGGAUGGGGUCUGGUGCUCCCGGCUUCGGCCUGCAAGGGCCAUCCCAGGGCCAUCCCAGGGCCACUCAAGGCCAUGGCCCUGCUGAGGAGGAGGGACCCAGGAAGUGUGCCUUCUCGCUGGAAGGACCCUGGUCCCUGGCCCAGGGUCCCCAGGCACCCUCCCUAGUCCUGGAAGGCAGGAGCUGCCGUGGUGCCUGCCCUCAGUCCUGCCCUACAUGCCUCUCCUGGCGCCCAGCCAGAUGGCUUGUCACCUGGUGGGGAGUGGAGGGUGCUCACGAGGGAUUCCGCUGGGCAGUGGGAGAGUUUAGUUGGUUCCUGGGGGCUGGGCCCAGCAGACUGGACACUGCUGUGAGGCAGAUAAGAAUGCCACAGCACCUUCCUGACUAGAGAUGCUGGCCCCGGGCCUCUUGACUCACCUGAGAAGCUCAAUGACCAUCCCUCGCUAAGAACCGUCUGCUCCCCAGCGCACUCCCAGUACAGCCAGCUGAAGGCAGAGGGGACAGGUUGAGAGGGGACAGUUUUCUUGCUCCUUCCUUAGCGCAGGUCCCAUGGAGGGAAGAGGAGAGGGAGUGCACGGGGCUGGCAUCAGAGCUGUCUCUGCUGGGUGUUCGGUGCCUUGCCUGAGCUCUCCCAGACCUGAGUGCACACAGGGCACGUACUAUUUCUUCUUUCUUACCCAUGUGCUUGUUUGGGGGGGUCCCCGACACACAGUUGCUGUCACUCAUCCUAGCACAGUACAUCCCCCAUGGCACCACCUCAUUCUAUUCCCUCUCCAUCUGUCUG